CAGGUGAUUGUGUUAGUUUGCCCCUGAUGAGAAGAGCCUUCAGACCCUCACCGUGUUUAGGUUAUAGGAAAUAAUUUGAGAGCAAGUUAGUUUGACAUCUAAAAAAUAAGGGGCCACUGAAGUCCCAUGAAGUAAUUUUAUUUUUUAAUCUUGCAUUUAUAACUUGUUCUCACAGGGAGGAAACUUUUUUGCAUAGGAUAAAUCAUUGCUUUCCUCCCCACUCUCCCCAACCAGUUGAAGCAGAUGGCUGGGCCUUCUUGUUAAAUGGGAGUUUUUCCUUCCCACUGUCACCAAGUGCUUGCACAUAGGGGGUCUAGGGAGUCUGAUCGUUGGAGUUCUCCCUCUCUUUAGCUUAAAAACCUUACAGAGAGCCUUGAGGCAACAUUGCUGAACUGAACUGAAUUGCACAAUAACUAAAGAUACUACCUUAUGGGACUUUAAAGACUGUACAAUUAUGUCAAGUACCUCAUAGCUGUAAACCUAUGAAAACCUAAUCAUUAUUUCGCAUCCCAUCCAUGUUCAAAGUGGAGAACACAAAUUAAAUGGAUCAUUUUAAUAAGUUAAGAGUAACAUGAACAGCAGAUUGACAGCCAUUUCAAGAAUUGUGUUGUUUGUGUUUAUUGGCUUUGUUAUGUCUUAAUGUUUCAGUUUGGUUGCUUAGGAAUAGACGUGGCCAUUAAUGGGCUUGUUACCAUGGCUGAAAGCAACUGAUAUAGAAGCUGCUGCAUGUGUAGACAUGAGACUAGACUGCAAUUAUGUGAAUGAGAUGUUCAUGAAUGGAUUUCACUUGCGUGCUCAGGACUGAAUUGCCAUUGUCUAUCAUUUCCUUGUGUCUAGCUAUAUUUGCUGAGGUGCCCAAAAUCGGUGAAGAUUCAGCUCGUCGUCUUACCAGCCAUCCCGGUGGCCAGUGGGGGGACUAAAAUAGUACCCUGUCUGUUGCCAAGGUUACAACAUUGACAACAUGAUGUGGCCAUUCAUUCUCAAUACUGUAUCUCCCUGGCCUUCUGUGAGAAAGUGGCUGCUAAUCUUAGCCCUCAAUCUACCCGCCUGUCAAUGUGAAGAG
Molecule: long non-coding RNA, 1063 nt
Filed under: Oreochromis niloticus (Nile tilapia)
Lineage: Eukaryota; Metazoa; Chordata; Actinopteri; Cichliformes; Cichlidae
Description: lncRNA (ENSONIG00000030733.1)
Source: RNAcentral